Molecule: ribosomal RNA, 229 nt
Filed under: uncultured bacterium
Lineage: Bacteria
Description: partial 16S ribosomal RNA
Rfam family: Bacterial small subunit ribosomal RNA
Source: RNAcentral
UGCGCAGGCGGGCUUGUAAGUCAGUGGUGAAAUACUGCCGCUUAACGGUAGAACUGCCAUUGAUACUGCGAGUCUUGAAUAUGGUUGAGGUAGGCGGAAUGUGUUGUGUAGCGGUGAAAUGCAUAGAUAUGACACAGAACGCCGAUUGCGAAGGCAGCUUACUAAGCCAUUACUGACGCUGAGGCACGAAAGCGUGGGGAGCGAACAGGAUUAGAUACCCUGGUAGUCC